UAAAUCAGUUAUCGUUUAUUUGAUAGUACCUUACUACUUGGAUAACCGUGGUAAUUCUAGAGCUAAUACAUGCUGAAAACCCCGACUUCGGAAGGGGUGUAUUUAUUAGAUAAAAAACCAACGCCCUUCGGGGCUUCUUGGUGAUUCAUGAUAACUUUACGGAUCGCAUGGCCUUGCGCCGGCGACGGUUCAUUCAAAUUUCUGCCCUAUCAACUUUCGAUGGUAAGGUAUUGGCUUACCAUGGUUUCAACGGGUAACGGGGAAUUAGGGUUCGAUUCCGGAGAGGGAGCCUGAGAAACGGCUACCACAUCCAAGGAAGGCAGCAGGCGCGCAAAUUACCCAAUCCCGAUACGGGGAGGUAGUGACAAUAAAUACUGAUACAGGGCUCUUUUGGGUCUUGUAAUUGGAAUGAGUACAAUUUAAACCUCUUAACGAGGAACAAUUGGAGGGCAAGUCUGGUGCCAGCAGCCGCGGUAAUUCCAGCUCCAAUAGCGUAUAUUAAAGUUGUUGCAGUUAAAAAGCUCGUAGUUGAAACUUGGGUCUGGCUGGCAGGUCCGCCUCACCGCGUGUACUUGUCCGGCCGGACCUUCCUUCUGGAGAACCUCAUGCCCUUCACUGGGCGUGUUGGGGACCAGGACUUUUACUUUGAAAAAAUUAGAGUGUUCAAAGCAGGCCUUUGCUCGAAUACGUUAGCAUGGAAUAAUAGAAUAGGACGUGCGGUUCUAUUUUGUUGGUUUCUAGGACCGCCGUAAUGAUUAAUAGGGACAGUCGGGGGGCAUCAGUAUUCAAUUGUCAGAGGUGAAAUUCUUGGAUUUAUUGAAGACUAACUACUGCGAAAGCAUUUGCCAAGGAUGUUUUCAUUAAUCAGUGAACGAAAGUUAGGGGAUCGAAGACGAUCAGAUACCGUCGUAGUCUUAACCGUAAACUAUGCCGACUAGGGAUCGGGCGAUGUUCUUUUUUUUGACUCGCUCGGCAC
RNAcentral lists this ribosomal RNA (976 nucleotides) under Hongkongmyces brunneosporus. RNAcentral's name for it is "SSU rRNA". It matches the Rfam family "Eukaryotic small subunit ribosomal RNA", at positions 102 to 1086 of the family's 1831-position model. The record is from RNAcentral. Lineage: Eukaryota; Fungi; Ascomycota; Dothideomycetes; Pleosporales; Lindgomycetaceae.